Molecule: ribosomal RNA, 783 nt
Filed under: Triticum aestivum (bread wheat)
Lineage: Eukaryota; Viridiplantae; Streptophyta; Magnoliopsida; Poales; Poaceae
Description: partial small subunit ribosomal RNA
Source: RNAcentral
UUUCAAUACCUCGAGGACAAGAUUGCGAGCAAACUACCGCCUUGGUCCGCUAUGCAUGUUGCUACCCCCGGGCGCAUUGUCUUGGUCAAAGCGGGCCUCACGGCCAUUGCGAUCUACCAUCUCAUGCCGCUGGAGCUGCCCGCUGAGGUCUGGAAAAAGAUUGACAGCCUGCAACGUGCCUACCUUUGGGCUGGUGGUGAUAAGGUGUCGGGCGGAAAGUGCAAGGUUAACUGGGAGCUUGUUUGCAAGCCUAAGAUUUUUGGUGGCUUGGGUGUGCUUAAUCUCCAGAAGUUUGCGACCGCCCUUCGUCUUCGCUGGCUUUGGUUUGAAUGGGCAGACCCUCCUAAGACUUGGAUGGGGAUGGAAACGCCAUGUUCAAACAGCGACAGAGAUUUGUUCUCGGCUUCCACAAUAGUGACUAUUGGGGAUGGCAAAAAGGCUAAAUCCUGGGAAUCCCCAUGGCUAAAUGAUCCCCGGCCUAAAGACAUCACGCCAAAGAUCUUUGAAGUGUCCAAGAAGAAGGCAUGUUUGGUUAACAAGGCCCUUGACAACAACUUCUGGAUCCAGCAAAUCGACACUACUCAGGGACUGACUUUGCCACACAUCCAAGAGUUUGUGGUUCUGUGGGAGAUGAUUGAUGGUGUUGCUCUCAAUCCUGAUAGGAAGGGCACUAUAUCUUGGAAAUUCACUUCCAGUGGCGACUAUUCGGCGGCUACGGCGUACACGGCGCAGUUCGAGGGACAAGUUCUCAGCUCAACCUCUCCCACAAUCUGGAGGAAUUAG